UCAAACUGGGAUUAGAUACCCCACUAUUUUUAGUUGUAAAUUUAGUUUAAGCUUACCAGAGUACUACGAAUAAAAAAGUUUAAAACUCAAAGGGCUUGGCGGUGUUUUAGACCUCUCAGGGGAACCUGUCUCGUAAUCGACAGUCCGCGUUAAACCUAACCUUUUAUAGCAAUACAGCUUGUAUACCGUCGUCGUCAGGUAACUUCUUAAAAUAUAGUAGUUAGCCCGAGAAUCAAGUUAAUUAGGACGUCAGAUCAAGGUGCAGCCAAUAAAGAGGUGAGGAUGGGUUACAAUUACAUAUUUGUAAAUACGGAAAAUAUUUGAAAUAUAGUAUCAUAAAGGAGGACUUGAAAGUAAUUUUAGUUAUAUGGAUAAAAUGAAUAUGGCUCUGAAACGUGCACACACCGCCCGUCACCCUCUGCAGUCAAAAA
This 431-nucleotide ribosomal RNA is filed under the name Conus pennaceus. Its description in RNAcentral is "partial 12S ribosomal RNA". It matches the Rfam family "Microsporidia small subunit ribosomal RNA", at positions 650 to 1218 of the family's 1311-position model. Lineage: Eukaryota; Metazoa; Mollusca; Gastropoda; Neogastropoda; Conidae. The record is from RNAcentral.